Molecule: long non-coding RNA, 105 nt
Organism: Oncorhynchus tshawytscha (Chinook salmon)
Lineage: Eukaryota; Metazoa; Chordata; Actinopteri; Salmoniformes; Salmonidae
Exons: 2
Source: RefSeq, a predicted model, not a curated record
UUCACUAUAGAGGGCCCUGGUCAACAGUAGUGGACUGACUAUAGAGGGCCCUGGUCAACAGUAGUGGACUGACUAUAGAGGGCCCUGGUCAACAGUAGUGGACUG